GUAUGUUCUCAAGCAACAAACUCCUAACUACUAAAUAUAGCUAGAUUCGAAGAACAAUGCUUAUGAGGAGGAAUAAGGUGAAUGUCUAAAUAUAACAUGUCUCAUAAUUGUAGUUGUGACUGAGAAUCAUAUGAUCAUUAAUCUAAAUGAUGUUUUUUUAGUAAAAACUAUAAGAUAUGAAAAAUGCAAAACUUUCUAAG
RNAcentral lists this long non-coding RNA (200 nucleotides) under Lathyrus oleraceus (garden pea). RNAcentral describes it as "Pisum sativum (pea) long non-coding RNA (PSAT_LNC028586)". Lineage: Eukaryota; Viridiplantae; Streptophyta; Magnoliopsida; Fabales; Fabaceae. The record is from RNAcentral.